AGCACUAAUACAAAACGUCAAAUGCAAUGACAUUUAAAGGAGCAGUAGUCAGGGGGUGGGGUGGGAGAGAAAUCAAUUUAAAGGCCACCGAAAGAAUUGUCUUCAGUUUCUGGCGAGAGGCACUGAAGAUGGCGACUGAUGGAUCUUGAUCAGGAGGAAAUGGAGGCAUUAAACCUUUCCCUUGACAAAUACAAACACCCUGUACUUACAGGAAUGCACACCCCAUUCUUUAAAUUCUGAGAAAAUUAAAUCUCAUUCCUCACACUUUACAGAGAGAUACAGCGCAAAUUCAGUAAGUUGCAGGAUGAUGAAUGGAAGCAUCCCACGGAGAAAUAUUUAAAUUGUCACAUUAGAAAAGUCAUAAAAAAUAAAAAUAAAAAUGCGUCAGCCCAGGAGAGAAGUUGCUUUUUAAGAAGCCUAAGAAAUAAUGGCCACAACUGGUGAUUGGAUGAACACAAUGAGAAUGAAGAUAAAGAACUGGAAGUCUGAUCUUUUCUUUUGCCCUCAUAAAGAAGCUCGGAACACCACAGUGGUGCCUGAACUCAUAAAUAAAGCACAAAAGAGACUUGAACCUUGGUCUUCAACUGCGCAAGGUAAAAUGUCAUUGCAUGAGAUAUUUUUACAUGAUUGGUUAUUGCAAAUGUCUAACCAGCUUUC
Molecule: long non-coding RNA, 657 nt
Organism: Podarcis raffonei (Aeolian wall lizard)
Lineage: Eukaryota; Metazoa; Chordata; Lepidosauria; Squamata; Lacertidae
Exons: 3
Source: RefSeq, a predicted model, not a curated record